This 252-nucleotide ribosomal RNA is filed under the name uncultured bacterium. RNAcentral's name for it is "partial 16S ribosomal RNA". It matches the Rfam family "Bacterial small subunit ribosomal RNA", at positions 524 to 776 of the family's 1533-position model. The record is from RNAcentral.
UACGAAGGGUGCAAGCGUUACUCGGAAUACUGGGCGUAAAGGGUGCGUAGGUGGUUUGUUAAGUCUGCUGUGAAAUCCCCGGGCUCAACCUGGGAAUGGCAGUGGAUACUGGCAAGCUAGAGUGCGGUAGAGGGUAGUGGAAUUCCCGGUGUAGCAGUGAAAUGCGUAGAGAUCGGGAGGAACACCAGUGGCGAAGGCGGCUACCUGGACCAGCACUGACACUGAAGCACGAAAGCGUGGGGAGCAAACAGG